AAUACAAAGGGUAAUAAUGUAAAUACACAAAUAACACAAUAUUAAAUUUUCCAUCAAUAUAUUGGCGAAAACCACGCAACUGUCUGACCCUUCUGAUUCUCUAGCAGCCCGAAAAUUUCCCAUCACUCCAAGCCAGUGAUUAAAAAAAAAAGCUAUGGUGCUAUCAAUUUUCAAUGCCCACGCUCCCCCAAGUAUUGAUGAGAAUAACACAUAUGGGCCAAACAUUAAGCAAGACGAUGUGCAGGAAGCACGAGGGUAUUAUCAUAUAGAGCCUUCUAAAUGGCACAAGUCCCCUCCAUUAGUGAAUGCACUGAAAGCCGCGGCUGACGAAAAUGUUGCAAUGUUUGGUUUUCCUGGACACAACCGAGGUCGAGCAGCACCACUGUCAAUGACUCAGCUCAUUGGUGAAAGGUCAUUCAUUCAUGACAUAUCUGAGGUGGACAACCUCUCAACUCCGCAAGGGCCUAUAUUGGAAGCACAAAAACAAGCAGCAGAAGUAUUUGGAGCAUCAAAGACAUGGUUUCUUGUUGGAGGUACAACUUGUGGAAUUCAUGCAGCUAUAAUGGGUGCUUGUAGUCCUGGAGACACCUUAAUUCUACCUCGAAAUUCUCACAAAUCAGCAAUAUCUGCAAUGGUCUUAUCAGGGGUGAUACCUAAGUAUAUAUUUUCUGACUAUGAUUUUGAUUGGGAUAUACCUACCACAAUCUCUCCAUCUCAGGUAAAAAGAGCAAUUGAGGAAUUGAAAUCAGAAGGCCGAAAACCCAGUGCUGUUCCCCUACUUAUCAAGGAAUAUGCUUAAACAUAAAAGAGAUCUCUGAGCUAUGUCACCUACAUAACAUUCCUCUUAUUGUAGACGAAGCUCACGGUGCUCACUUCAGAUUUCACCCAUCUCUUCCCUUGUCAGCCCUCGAGCAAGGCGCGGAUGUGGUUGUUCAAUCCACUCAUAAAGUUCUUUCGUCUCUUACUCAAUCAUCUAUGUUACAUGUAUCCAAUAAUAAUAUUAUAGACAAAGAUAAAAUCAGCAGAUGUCUUCAAACCCUUCAAAGCACUAGUCCAAGUCCCCUGCUUUUGGCUUCACUGGAUGCUACUACAACUCAACUAAAAGAACAUUCAGCAAGUAUUUUUGACAAUGCAAUUAAAUUAGCAAUGGAGGCUAGAAACACAAUCAAACAAAUUUUAGGCAUCACCAUCUUUGAUUUCCCCGACAUGGACCCUUUACGAAUAACUUUUGGUGUCUAUGGUCUUGGUGUUUCUGGAUAUGAAGCCGAUGACUUCUUAUAUAUGGACCAAAAGAUCAUCUCUGAGCUCUCUACACAGAGAUAUCUCACACUUGUGAUUCUACCAGGGACUUGUACAGAGCAUAUCGAUAGGCUAAUCUUAGGAUUUAAGCAUUUAUCAUUGUCGUCAUUGUUCAUCCAACAUCAAAGGAAGAACGAAAUAAAGCAUAUUCAUAUAAAUUUCAACCUAUGGAAUGACAUUGACAUGCAAUUAACUCCACGAGAGGCUUUCUUUGCAAGGAAAAAGAAGGUAGAUGUUAAAGAUGUAGUUGGAAAAGUAUCUGGUGAGUUGAUAUGUCCAUAUCCACCUGGUAUUCCUAUAAUUGCUCCUGGUGAAGUGAUAUCAGAAAGAAUGUUAGAUAUUUUACUGCGAUUUAAAGAUGACGGUGCCAAAGUGAUUGGAGCAUGCGAUCCUCUUCUCUAUUUUAUACUUGUCUGCGAUAUUUAGAAGGAAAAAUAAACCUGUGGUACUCAGUAAAUGAAUAAUAAAGGUCGUGAUUUUUAUUCA
Molecule: RNA transcript, 1785 nt
Organism: Beta vulgaris subsp. vulgaris (sugar beet)
Lineage: Eukaryota; Viridiplantae; Streptophyta; Magnoliopsida; Caryophyllales; Amaranthaceae
Exons: 5
Source: RefSeq, a predicted model, not a curated record